This 468-nucleotide ribosomal RNA is filed under the name uncultured bacterium. RNAcentral describes it as "partial 16S ribosomal RNA". It matches the Rfam family "Bacterial small subunit ribosomal RNA", at positions 28 to 507 of the family's 1533-position model. The record is from RNAcentral.
GACGAACGCUGGCGGCGUGCUUAACACAUGCAAGUCGAACGGAAAGGCCCUGCUUUUGUGGGGUGCUCGAGUGGCGAACGGGUGAGUAACACGUGAGUAACCUGCCCUUGACUUUGGGAUAACUUCAGGAAACUGGGGCUAAUACCGGAUAGGAGCCCCUGCUGCAUGGUGGGGGUUGGAAAGUUUCGGCGGUUGGGGAUGGACUCGCGGCUUAUCAGCUUGUUGGUGGGGUAGUGGCUUACCAAGGCUUUGACGGGUAGCCGGCCUGAGAGGGUGACCGGCCACAUUGGGACUGAGAUACGGCCCAGACUCCUACGGGAGGCAGCAGUGGGGAAUAUUGCACAAUGGGCGGAAGCCUGAUGCAGCAACGCCGCGUGCGGGAUGACGGCCUUCGGGUUGUAAACCGCUUUCGCCUGUGACGAAGCGUGAGUGACGGUAAUGGGUAAAGAAGCACCGGCUAACUACGUG